Molecule: ribosomal RNA, 392 nt
Filed under: uncultured bacterium
Lineage: Bacteria
Description: partial 16S ribosomal RNA
Rfam family: Bacterial small subunit ribosomal RNA
Source: RNAcentral
AUACGGAGGAUGCGAGCGUUAUCCGGAUUUAUUGGGUUUAAAGGGGGCGUAGGUGGGAUAUUAAGUCAGCUGUGAAAGUUUGGGGCUCAACCUUAAAAUUGCAGUUGAUACUGGUUUCCUUGAGUACGGUACAGGUGGGCGGAAUUCGUGGUGUAGCGGUGAAAUGCUUAGAUAUCACGAAGAACUCCGAUCGCGAAGGCAGCUCACCGGGCCGGAACUGACACUGAUGCUCGAAAGUGCGGGUAUCAAACAGGAUUAGAUACCCUGGUAGUCCGCACAGUAAACGAUGAAUACUCGCUGUUUGCGAUACACUGUAAGCGGCCAAGCGAAAGCGUUAAGUAUUCCACCUGGGGAGUACGCCGGCAACGGUGAAACUCAAAUGAAUUGGCGGG